This 116-nucleotide ribosomal RNA is filed under the name Pteropus alecto (black flying fox). The record is from RNAcentral. Lineage: Eukaryota; Metazoa; Chordata; Mammalia; Chiroptera; Pteropodidae.
GUCUAUGGCCAUGCCACCCUGAACAAGCCCGAUGUCUGAUCUCAGAAGCUAAGCAGGGUCGGGCCUGGUUAGUACUUGGAUGGGACACCACCUAGGAAGACCAGGUGCUGUAGGAA